RNAcentral lists this ribosomal RNA (393 nucleotides) under Draco beccarii. RNAcentral describes it as "partial small subunit ribosomal RNA". The record is from RNAcentral. Lineage: Eukaryota; Metazoa; Chordata; Lepidosauria; Squamata; Agamidae.
AAACUGGGAUUAGAUACCCCACUAUGCCUGACUGUAAAUUACUAGCCAAAAAAGUACAAGCCCCGCUUGAAACUUAAAGGACCUGGCGGUACUCUAUCGGCCUAGAGGGGCCUGUCCUAUAACCGAUAAUCCACGAAAAACCUUGCCAUCCCUUGCCACCAGCCUAUAUACCGCCGUCUCAAGCACAUUUUCCAAAAAAUGAAGCUAAAUAGUCCCACACACUAACACGUCAGGUCAAGGUGUAGCUUAUGAGAUGGAAGAGGCGGACCACAGUACCACAACACACGGAAACCCCGUUGAAACACGGGGAAAAAGACGAAUUUAGCAGUAAGUGGAACAGAAUGCCCCACUGAACCGCCCGCCCUAGAGUACGCACACACCGCCCGUCACCCU